This 624-nucleotide long non-coding RNA is filed under the name Ananas comosus (pineapple). Its description in RNAcentral is "long non-coding RNA (ACOM_LNC013527)". Lineage: Eukaryota; Viridiplantae; Streptophyta; Magnoliopsida; Poales; Bromeliaceae. The record is from RNAcentral.
AAAUUAAUUAAAUACUCUGUGUAACUUUUUCUAACAACACAAUACUAUACGUUUGUUUGGAUGAAAGUGAGGUGGAAGUGGAGAGGAAGUUGUUUUCGCCAUAAACGAUCACUUCUUUUGUUUGAUUUGCCGUAAAAAUUUUAUGGUCGAAACUCGAGUUAAUCUGAAACGGCGUAAUUGACGUGGGCCGACGUCAAUUACGAUAAAAAAAUGUGAAAAAAAAUAAUAAAAUAAUAUACUAGGUAAAGAUAGUUAUAUUUAAAUAUAAUUAAUUAUGAUAAUACUUGCUUCUUUAUUCAUUUUGCAUAUUUAAAAUAUGAUAAAAAUUAAUUAGUUAAAUUUUAAUAUUUUAUUUAAUUAUUUAUUUUGUAUAAUUAAAAUAUAAUAAAAAUUGAUUAAUUAAGUAUUAAUAUUUAUUUUACUUUAUAAUUUUAUUGUUGUAUUACUAAAAUUUAUAUAUAAAAAAAUAAUUUAAUUAUUUUAAAUUAAAUUAUAUUUAUUUUAUUCUAUUUUGUUAAAUUAUUUAUAAAUUAUAGUUUUACAUCAUACACAUAAACUACUAAAGCUUUACUUUUAUAACUACAAAAUAAAGAGUAAAAAAAAUAAAUUUUAUUUUAAUCUAAA